Molecule: ribosomal RNA, 424 nt
Filed under: uncultured bacterium
Lineage: Bacteria
Description: bacterial SSU rRNA
Rfam family: Bacterial small subunit ribosomal RNA
Source: RNAcentral
AACGAACGCUGGCGGCAUGCCUAACACAUGCAAGUCGAACGGGAUCCUAGCUUGCUAGGUGAGAGUGGCGGACGGGUGAGUAACACGUGGGAAUCUGCCUUUUGGUUCGGGAUAACCGCGGGAAACUGCGGCUAAUACCGAAUGCCCUCGAGAGAGGAAAGAUUUAUCGCCAGAAGAGGAGCCCGCGUCCGAUUAGGUAGUUGGUGGGGUAAAGGCCUACCAAGCCGACGAUCGGGUAGCUGGUCUGAGAGGAUGAUCAGCCACACUGGGACUGAGAUACGGCCCAGACUCCUACGGGAGGCAGCAGUGGGGAAUAUUGGACAAUGGGGGCAACCCUGAUCCAGCAAUGCCGCGUGAGUGAUGAAGGCCUUAGGGUUGUAAAGGUCUCUUUUGUCCAGGGAAGAUGAUGACUGUACCUGGAGAA